UUUUUACGUAUUUCAUUCUUUCAGACCGUUAGUGGUUAGAGCACCCGCCUCGGAUGCGGGAGGUCGUGGGUUUGAUCCCCAGUCGAGUAAU
Non-coding RNA from Potamilus streckersoni, 91 nucleotides. The record is from the annotation of a GenBank genome assembly. NCBI's taxonomy places the organism in Eukaryota, Metazoa, Mollusca, Bivalvia, Unionida, Unionidae.